AAAUUGAAGAGUUUGAUCAUGGCUCAGAUUGAACGCUGGCGGCAGGCCUAACACAUGCAAGUCGAACGGUAACAGGAAGCAGCUUGCUGCUUCGCUGACGAGUGGCGGACGGGUGAGUAAUGUCUGGGAAACUGCCUGAUGGAGGGGGAUAACUACUGGAAACGGUGGCUAAUACCGCAUAACGUCGCAAGACCAAAGAGGGGGACCUUCGGGCCUCUUGCCAUCAGAUGUGCCCAGAUGGGAUUAGCUUGUUGGUGAGGUAACGGCUCACCAAGGCGACGAUCCCUAGCUGGUCUGAGAGGAUGACCAGCCACACUGGAACUGAGACACGGUCCAGACUCCUACGGGAGGCAGCAGUGGGGAAUAUUGCACAAUGGGCGCAAGCCUGAUGCAGCCAUGCCGCGUGUAUGAAGAAGGCCUUCGGGUUGUAAAGUACUUUCAGCGGGGAGGAAGGUGUUGUGGUUAAUAACCACAGCAAUUGACGUUACCCGCAGAAGAAGCACCGGCUAACUCCGUGCCAGCAGCCGCGGUAAUACGGAGGGUGCAAGCGUUAAUCGGAAUUACUGGGCGUAAAGCGCACGCAGGCGGUCUGUCAAGUCGGAUGUGAAAUCCCCGGGCUCAACCUGGGAACUGCAUUCGAAACUGGCAGGCUUGAGUCUUGUAGAGGGGGGUAGAAUUCCAGGUGUAGCGGUGAAAUGCGUAGAGAUCUGGAGGAAUACCGGUGGCGAAGGCGGCCCCCUGGACAAAGACUGACGCUCAGGUGCGAAAGCGUGGGGAGCAAACAGGAUUAGAUACCCUGGUAGUCCACGCCGUAAACGAUGUCUACUUGGAGGUUGUGCCCUUGAGGCGUGGCUUCCGGAGCUAACGCGUUAAGUAGACCGCCUGGGGAGUACGGCCGCAAGGUUAAAACUCAAAUGAAUUGACGGGGGCCCGCACAAGCGGUGGAGCAUGUGGUUUAAUUCGAUGCAACGCGAAGAACCUUACCUGGUCUUGACAUCCACAGAAGAAUCCAGAGAUGGAUUUGUGCCUUCGGGAACUGUGAGACAGGUGCUGCAUGGCUGUCGUCAGCUCGUGUUGUGAAAUGUUGGGUUAAGUCCCGCAACGAGCGCAACCCUUAUCCUUUGUUGCCAGCGGUUAGGCCGGGAACUCAAAGGAGACUGCCAGUGAUAAACUGGAGGAAGGUGGGGAUGACGUCAAGUCAUCAUGGCCCUUACGACCAGGGCUACACACGUGCUACAAUGGCGCAUACAAAGAGAAGCGACCUCGCGAGAGCAAGCGGAUCUCAUAAAGUGCGUCGUAGUCCGGAUUGGAGUCUGCAACUCGACUCCAUGAAGUCGGAAUCGCUAGUAAUCGUGGAUCAGAAUGCCACGGUGAAUACGUUCCCGGGCCUUGUACACACCGCCCGUCACACCAUGGGAGUGGGUUGCAAAAGAAGUAGGUAGCUUAACCUUCGGGAGGGCGCUUACCACUUUGUGAUUCAUGACUGGGGUGAAGUCGUAACAAGGUAACCGUAGGGGAACCUGCGGUUGGAUCACCUCCUUACCUUAAAGAA
This 1552-nucleotide ribosomal RNA is filed under the name Salmonella sp. SSDFZ54. RNAcentral describes it as "bacterial SSU rRNA". It matches the Rfam family "Bacterial small subunit ribosomal RNA". Lineage: Bacteria; Pseudomonadati; Pseudomonadota; Gammaproteobacteria; Enterobacterales; Enterobacteriaceae. The record is from RNAcentral.